Galleria mellonella (greater wax moth) is the source of this 1691-nucleotide long non-coding RNA. RefSeq lists it as uncharacterized. The transcript has 2 exons. The record is from RefSeq and is a predicted model, not a curated record. NCBI's taxonomy places the organism in Eukaryota, Metazoa, Arthropoda, Insecta, Lepidoptera, Pyralidae.
AACAAUGGAUAGAUGGAUGUUUGUUAGUCUUUCACGCAAAAACUACUAAAUGGAUUUGAAUGAUAUUUAGUGUACAAGUAGGCUAUAUCCUAACGUAGCACAUAGGAUACUUUAUAUACUGAUUUAUGUAAACAAAGACACCGGAAAUAGCUAGUAAAUAAAUAACCUAAUAAUGGAACAUAUAUAUAGUUACUACAAUAAUAGAGAUCCUUAAAUGACUAACAACGGUAUUUUUAGCCGAAAAUUAUAAUCUAAAUAAGUAUUCAAGAAGGAUAAAGGAAAAACAAUAUAACUAUACAUAGAUAUGAUUAAAAUUUAUUUAUGUAUUAGCGUAAACAAUACAUACCUACAAAUACAGGUGAAGUAUCGAUAACCCAUCAUUUGUUGUUGUGUCUCAUACCGUGUAGGCUGUGAUCGAUAACCUGUCUCAUUACAGUUCUGAUGCAAAAAAUUAACGGAAUAUUUUCAAUUUUGAUUAUUGUAUCUAGUAAUUGUAAUUAUGUUGAUUUUUGAAAAAAAAGUUUAUGAUAAUGAUAAAUUAUUAUCAGAAAAUCGUAUUAUAUGAAGAUAAUAUCCCAUCCCUAACAACUAAUUCUAUAAUAAAGCUGUAAGAUAGUUUCCUUCUUGUGGUCUACUAUUCUUUCCUCUUUUAUAUAGCAAAAUUUUUCAUUACUUAUCAACUCACGACCCAAUCUUAAACGGAGAUCUCACUAUAAGAGGACGUAGCCACACCGUUACAGCGCUUGUUGGAUAAUUUAGUAUUUCAAACUUUCCUUGCAUUAGUGUAUUGCCCUUUUUCUCUUAAAACAGUGUUUUAGCACAUGCUGAAGAUGUAAAAAAUUGGUAAUGCAUCGGAUUCUUACUUUCUUAUUCAUUAUAAGGAACUAAAACAGAUAUUAUAACAAAACAAAACAUUUAUAUAACAGUUAAAAUAACUUUAAAGGAUGUUUCAUGGAUAAAAUGGAAUGAAAACUAAUGAUUACAUACCAUUAGACCUUAUCGAACAGUCUAUUAAGCUUGUUAUUAUAAAAUUACUCGUAAAUUAAGAAUAAAUAUUUAUAUACAUGAAAUAUACAGAAAAAUAUAAUGUUUAGAAAAGAUAAUAAGAUAACUUGAAGAUACUAUUAACAAAUGAAAUGUGAUACGUAAACGAUCAGAAACUUCAAUACCUAAAAUACCUACUUCAUAAACUUAUACGAGAUAUUUACAUAAAGUAAGUUGCAUUUUACAAAUAUACCUACAAAUUGCAAUGUAAACUUCAUUGCGAUAAAAGACUUUUCAAUAAAGGUCCAUUUAAAUUCUCGCCAACAGUGAAAUCUGCGGAUAAAAUGUUCAAUAAAUAAUUUUAUAUGAGUAUUUUGCAGGACCAUUCGCGCACGUGUAACGGUUAUGCAAGUUUAAUGGGUAUGACAAAGUUCAAUUAGAUUGCAGGAGAGCAAACAACUGUUCAUUCUCAUUCCAUUGUCCUCAAACGUAGCUCAGUGAAAUUGGCAACGGAUACAGAAGCGACGUUGGGCAUUUCCAUACCUACUAGAGGCCCUAGUUUGUUGAACCCAGAUACAAUUUCUAAGCGAGUUACAUAUUUUAAAAUUUUUAUAAAAGAUAUUAGAAUUGAUCAAAUUAUUUCACUAAUUUUAAAUAUAUAUUUUAUUAAGCUUACAAUUUGUAUAAAUAAAUUAUGUUUAUAGAUA